RNAcentral lists this non-coding RNA (125 nucleotides) under Procavia capensis (Cape rock hyrax). The record is from RNAcentral. Lineage: Eukaryota; Metazoa; Chordata; Mammalia; Hyracoidea; Procaviidae.
GUGUUCUGUAUAAUAAGCAUUUUUAGCUCUCUCCUUGACAAGGAUGGAGGAAGCCCUCAGGCCCUCCAACACACAUACAAUUAAGACAUUGUGCCCUACUUUGUGGCAUCUAACCACAGUUUGGA